Molecule: long non-coding RNA, 1127 nt
Organism: Impatiens glandulifera
Lineage: Eukaryota; Viridiplantae; Streptophyta; Magnoliopsida; Ericales; Balsaminaceae
Exons: 2
Source: RefSeq, a predicted model, not a curated record
CCCCCCCCCAAAGGAAUGAGAAUGGUUUGAUCUCUCACCCAAUCAAGCUUUCACACAAAAGUUUCCACUCAUGUUCUAUCUGGUUCUGUAAAUGAUAUGCUUUGUCAUGUAAGUCACUACAUCUCUCAGAUUCACGAAUCUGCAUAAGAUAUAUUAUUUCUUCAAAUGGCUAAGAUUAGGUUGGUGUAAUAUAUUUCUUCAAACAAAUUUAUUCAAUUAAAGCUUACACGCUAGCAUGAAUUAAUAUUAGCUUGUGAUAUCUGAUGGAGUAGUACAGGUCAAUUGAUAAUAUUGUUGUGUGUGGGUUUUGUUUUGGUAACAUGAAAAUGACUCAAUUGAUAACUGAAGGAACACCAAUCACUACUUGGCCACAUGAAGGAAUUUGAGUUUCAUGAUGAUCAGGACCACAAAACCACAUUUCACUGCUUCAAUGGCUGUAAAGAUCCGGCUUCACCCAUUUGAAACGUCCAGGCAGAGGCUCAUCUUUCGCAGGGUCAAAGUUGUACCUGAAAAAUUAAGAGUGAUGCCUGAAAUCUACAUAAAACUUUAAAAGAAAGUGAAAGUUGUUGAAAGGGCAGUAUGUAUAUACUUACUUCUCUUUGAAUUGUUGCUCCUGUAAUUUCUCAGAUUCCCCGAAGAAGAGAUCCAAUUCCUCUGAGGUUGGGAUUUGUGUUCUCAUUGAAUUAGUUAGGCUCGAUCGAGGUUGGGGUCUAGUAGUAGAACCAGGAGUUGUAACCAUCUGAGGAUCUCGAAUCAAACUGAUAGGUGUACUUUCCCUUGUGCUCCUGCAGAAGAUCCAUGACAGAAUUACUUAAAAAAUCUGUAAUAAUUUCUCUGAAACUGAAGAGAAUGUUUGUAACCUUGAGUAGUUAAAGCUGACAAGCAACAAUAAUGGUGGUAUAAAUGCAGAUAGAAGAAAAUCUCAAUUUCUUAAACUUGUACUAUCUUAAGAAGAGAUUGUUUAACAAAAAAAAAUGGUCUGCUUUUCACCAUUUGAGAGAAGAACAGAGAAAUCAUCCUCUUUUAUUCCAUGGUCUGUUUUUCUCUCUUCAGAUCAGACCCUCUUCUCGAAAACAAACAAGGGGACAUGACAAGACAUGAUAGGACAGAACAGGACAGUCUUCUAA